RNAcentral lists this ribosomal RNA (497 nucleotides) under uncultured bacterium. RNAcentral's name for it is "partial 16S ribosomal RNA". It matches the Rfam family "Bacterial small subunit ribosomal RNA", at positions 28 to 507 of the family's 1533-position model. The record is from RNAcentral.
GAUGAACGCUGGCGGCGGGCCUAAUACAUGCAAGUCGAGCGAACGGACAAGAAGCGUGCUUCUCUGAUGUUAGCGGCGGACGGGUGAGUAAGACGUGGAUAACCUACCUAUAAGACUGGGAGAACUUCGGGAAGCCGGAGCUAAUACCGGAUAAUAUUUUGAACGGGAUGGUUCAAAAGUUAAAGACGGUCUUGCUGUCACUUAUAGAUGGAUCCGCGCUGCAUUAGCUAGUUGGUAAGGUAACGGCUUACCAAGGCAACGAUGCAUAGCCGACCUGAGAGGGUGAUCGGCCACACUGGAACUGAGACACGGUCCAGACUCCUACGGGAGGCAGCAGUAGGGAAUCUUCCGCAAUGGGCGAAAGCCUGACGGAGCAACGCCGCGUGAGUGAUGAAGGUCUUCGGAUCGUAAAACUCUGUUAUUAGGGAAGAACAUAUGUGUAAGUAACUGUGCACAUCUUGACGGUACCUAAUCAGAAAGCCACGGCUAACUACGUG